RNAcentral lists this ribosomal RNA (255 nucleotides) under uncultured bacterium. RNAcentral's name for it is "partial 16S ribosomal RNA". It matches the Rfam family "Bacterial small subunit ribosomal RNA", at positions 524 to 777 of the family's 1533-position model. The record is from RNAcentral.
UACGGGGGGUGCGAGCGUUGUUCGGAUUUACUGGGCGUAAAGAGCGCGCAGGCGGUCGUUCAAGUCGCGUGUGAAAGCCCCCGGCUCAACUGGGGAGGGUCACGCGAUACUGAUCGACUCGAAGGCAGGAGAGGGUAGUGGAAUUCCCGGUGUAGUGGUGAAAUGCGUAGAUAUCGGGAGGAACACCAGUGGCGAAGGCGACUACCUGGCCUGUUUCUUGACGCUGAGGCGCGAAAGCUAGGGGAGCAAACGGGG